GUAUGCAACUAAACUACCAUGGAUACAGAGUAGAGAAAGGUGGUUGGAAGUUGUUCCCACACUUAGUAUAUCAGGAACUUCUUUCCCAUGCUUUAGUGCUCUAUCACAGCAAGACAAACUAGAAAGAAUCCCUAAAUGGUCAGUGGAAAUGAUGCACCCAAACAUCUACUGCAGCUCAGAAGAGGAUAUGGGAGCCCGGUUUCAAUAGUGACUCAACCUCAUCUUGAACUGCAUCAUACUCUAUGGCCAUUCACUUGACUGAGGCUAGCAGAGCCUUUUUCCUUUGCCUGAACUGUGCUUCACUGAAAUGUGUCUUCAUUUCAACAUAUGAAUAAAGAUCACUAUAUGGGAUUUGCAGAGAAGUAGCUAUUCCAUGAACUUCAGUGUAACCAAGAACAUAGCAUUAAUACAUAAGAAACCAUGCUAGAUACAAUGUAUUUAAGACAAAUGAAAUAAAAGCAGCAUUUAGAUGCCAAACACCGAAUC
Non-coding RNA from Rattus norvegicus (Norway rat), 486 nucleotides. The record is from RefSeq and is a predicted model, not a curated record. NCBI's taxonomy places the organism in Eukaryota, Metazoa, Chordata, Mammalia, Rodentia, Muridae.